GGAGGGGUGCUCCGAAUGGUAAGGAACCAGUCUUGAAAACUGGCGCCCGAAAGGGCUUGCAGGUUCGAGUCCUGUCCCCUCCG
RNAcentral lists this transfer RNA (83 nucleotides) under Patescibacteria group bacterium. RNAcentral's name for it is "tRNA-Ser". It matches the Rfam family "tRNA". Rfam says of the family: Transfer RNA (tRNA) molecules are approximately 80 nucleotides in length. Their secondary structure includes four short double-helical elements and three loops (D, anti-codon, and T loops). The record is from RNAcentral.